CCUCGGGUGGCAGCAGUGAGGAAUAUUGGUCAAUGGGCGCGAGCCUGAACCAGCCAAGUCGCGUGAGGGAGGACGGCCCUACGGGUUGUAAACCUCUUUUGCCGGGGAGCAACGGGCGCCACGUGUGGCGCCACUGAGAGUACCCGGAGAAAAAGCAUCGGCUAACUCCGUGCCAGCAGCCGCGGUAAUACGGAGGAUGCGAGCGUUAUCCGGAUUUAUUGGGUUUAAGGGGUGCGUAUGCGGAUCGUUAAGUCAGUGGUCAAAUUGAGGGGCUCAACCCCUUCCCGCCAUUGAAACUGGCGAUCUUGAGUGGAAGAGAAGUAUGCGGAAUGCGUGGUGUAGCGGUGAAAUGCAUAGAUAUCACGCAGAACCCCGAUUGCGAAGGCAGCGUACCGGCCGGUCACUGACGCUGAGGCACGAAAGCGCGGGUAUCGAACAGGAUUAGAUACCCUGGUAGUC
Molecule: ribosomal RNA, 459 nt
Filed under: uncultured bacterium
Lineage: Bacteria
Description: partial 16S ribosomal RNA
Rfam family: Bacterial small subunit ribosomal RNA
Source: RNAcentral